RNAcentral lists this ribosomal RNA (392 nucleotides) under uncultured bacterium. RNAcentral describes it as "bacterial SSU rRNA". It matches the Rfam family "Bacterial small subunit ribosomal RNA", at positions 30 to 429 of the family's 1533-position model. The record is from RNAcentral.
AUUGAACGCUGGCGGCAUGCCUUACACAUGCAAGUCGAACGGCAGCGGACCUUCGGGUGCCGGCGAGUGGCGAACGGGUGAGUAAUAUAUCGGAACGUACCUUUCAGUGGGGGAUAACGUAGCGAAAGUUACGCUAAUACCGCAUAUUCUGUGAGCAGGAAAGCAGGGGAUCGCAAGACCUUGCGCUGAUUGAGCGGCCGAUAUCAGAUUAGCUAGUUGGUGAGGUAAAGGCUCACCAAGGCGACGAUCUGUAGCGGGUCUGAGAGGAUGAUCCGCCACACUGGAACUGAGACACGGUCCAGACUCCUACGGGAGGCAGCAGUGGGGAAUUUUGGACAAUGGCGCAAGCCUGAUCCAGCCAUGCCGCGUGAGUGAAGAAGGCCUGGUGUAAG